CCCUUUUCGGGCCUUUGUAGGGCCAGCUACGGCGGGUGGAAGUUUGACCCCGCUGGGGGGAGUACGGGGUCCGGCAAGGAUUUAAAAAACUCAAAAAGGAUUGACGGGGGAACCCCGCCACAAGCCGGUGGNAAUGAAAUGUGGAAUUAAUUUCGAAUGCAAACGCGAAAAAACCUUACCCUACCCNUUUGACAUGUCUGGAUUCCGAAGAGAUUUGGAAGUGCUCGCAAGAGAACCGGAACACAGGUGCUGCAUGGCUGUCGUCAGCUCGUGUCGUGAGAUGUUGGGUUAAGUCCCGCAACGAGCGCAACCCUUGUCAUUAGUUGCUACGAAAGGGCACUCUAAUGAGACUGCCGGUGACAAACCGGAGGAAGGUGGGGAUGACGUCAAGUCCUCAUGGCCCUUAUGGGUAGGGCUUCACACGUCAUACAAUGGUCGGGACAGAGGGUCGCCAACCCGCGAGGGGGAGCCAAUCCCAGAAACCCGAUCGUAGUCCGGAUCGCAGUCUGCAACUCGACUGCGUGAAGUCGGAAUCGCUAGUAAUCGCGGAUCAGCAUGUCGCGGUGAAUACGUUCCCGGGUCUUGUACACACCGCCCGUCACACCAUGGGAGUGGGUUUUACCAGAAGUAGUUAGCCUAACCGCAAGGGGGGCGAUUACCACGGUAGGAUUCAUGACUGGGGUGAAGUCGUAACAAGGUAACC
Molecule: ribosomal RNA, 703 nt
Filed under: uncultured bacterium
Lineage: Bacteria
Description: bacterial SSU rRNA
Rfam family: Bacterial small subunit ribosomal RNA
Source: RNAcentral